RNAcentral lists this long non-coding RNA (1304 nucleotides) under Carica papaya (papaya). Its description in RNAcentral is "long non-coding RNA (CPAP_LNC013581)". The record is from RNAcentral. Lineage: Eukaryota; Viridiplantae; Streptophyta; Magnoliopsida; Brassicales; Caricaceae.
CAGGUAUUCUCUCUCUACUUUUCCCUCUCCAGCUUUUCCUUCUCGGGUUCUCAAUUUCAGUUGAUUGUGUACAACAUGUUGUUUACCAUGCAUAUUUUUGAUCCGUUUGUCUGGUGGGUUAUUGGUGGUUGGUUAGCAGGGAGGAAAAUAGAGGAAGAUCUGAUGUACCUGCCGGUGGAUCUUAAUUAUUUCGAAGAUCAUUAUGGCUCUUGAAAAUAAAGGUGGGUUAUGUACUCUCUUUUCGUUUUAAGCGUGUUUUGAAUUCAAAAUUUCGAGCUUUGAUCUUGACAGUCAUGGUUCAGUUCUGCUUGUGAGUUUUGAUCCGGAGGAGUUGUUUCGUCGGUGGAAUUUGGGGCUUUUGGUGCUUGUUAGGUUUUUAUGCUGUCGAUAGGGGGACUUCAGUUUUAAUUCAUAUCAAAUGUCGGUCCCUUUUUACUCAAGAGUCCUUUUCAAAUUUGUUAUCCUCAAAAUUUUUUUUAGGGCAUUAUUUUCUUGUUGAAUUUAGUUGAGGCAUAGUUUAUCAGUUUCUUGCUAGUACAAAGUGCUGGGAGGAUUUCUUGGUAUUGAAUUUUGUUUGGUUAAGGAGCUUACGGUGCCGAGGUCCUUAAAUUUUGAUACAGAACUGAGAAUUCUAGUUCCGUAAGGCAUUGAAAUUGGAAUCUGAAACUUCGUUGGUGACUCCGAAGCAGGGAAAGAUCGGACUAAUAGAAUUCGAGAAUUUGAUGAAUGACUCGUGCUUUUGAGUUGACAUGCAUAAUAAUGCGGUUUGUAGUUGCAUUUUAGUUGAUUUUAGGUUUGUAAUGGGAGUCGUAUCAGUGGCAAAAUUAAGGUACCAAAAUCAAAAGUCACCUUUGUGGUACUGAAGUUGUUAUUGCUUUCCACUCAAGUUGUUAUUGGUUUGUAUGUAGUGAACGUGAAUGUAAGAAAGUGAUUGAAGCUACUAGUUCAGAUACCAGCACAGAGAAAAUUUGUUAGAAAGCAUUUUAUCAUAAAAGUGAAACUGUGUACCGGACUAUUUUGAGAAAAAUAACAAAACAAAAAAGAAAAUCCGUACAGAAAAGAAGCUGACCCCAUACGUACAUUUUAGCUUGCACGCGUAAAAUGGUCUUGACAUAUGCUAAUCUUUCGUGGAACUUAUGCAUAAUUUAUUGUCUAUCGUUGUACCUGGUACUUUUGAUUAUAGCACAAGUUGUGCAAAACUAGUGAAACUUUGGUUAAAUAGAGAAAUAUAGGGUUUGUUUGAGAUGUUGCUCAAAUUAAGUAGAGGCCUUGUAGAAUAACCGAAGCAAAUAUAGUUAGACUAG